Molecule: ribosomal RNA, 443 nt
Filed under: uncultured bacterium
Lineage: Bacteria
Description: partial 16S ribosomal RNA
Rfam family: Bacterial small subunit ribosomal RNA
Source: RNAcentral
CCUACGGGUGGCAGCAGUGGGGGAUAUUGGACAAUGGGGGAAACCCUGAUCCAGCGACGCCGCGUGAGUGAAGAAGUAUUUCGGUAUGUAAAGCUCUGUCAGCAGGGAAGAAAGAAAUGACGGUACCUGACCAAGAAGCCCCGGCUAACUACGUGCCAGCAGCCGCGGUAAUACGUAGGGGGCAAGCGUUAUCCGGAUUUACUGGGUGUAAAGGGAGCGUAGACGGCGAUGCAAGCCAGAUGUGAAAGCCCGGGGCUCAACCCCGGGACUGCAUUUGGAACUGUGUGGCUGGAGUGUCGGAGAGGCAGGCGGAAUUCCUAGUGUAGCGGUGAAAUGCGUAGAUAUUAGGAGGAACACCAGUGGCGAAGGCGGCCUGCUGGACGAUGACUGACGUUGAGGCUCGAAAGCGUGGGGAGCAAACAGGAUUAGAUACCCUUGUAGUC